RNAcentral lists this ribosomal RNA (497 nucleotides) under uncultured bacterium. RNAcentral describes it as "partial 16S ribosomal RNA". It matches the Rfam family "Bacterial small subunit ribosomal RNA", at positions 28 to 507 of the family's 1533-position model. The record is from RNAcentral.
GAUGAACGCUGGCGGCGUGCCUAAUACAUGCAAGUCGAGCGAACGGACGAGAAGCUUGCUUCUCUGAUGUUAGCGGCGGACGGGUGAGUAACACGUGGAUAACCUACCUAUAAGACUGGGAUAACUUCGGGAAACCGGAGCUAAUACCGGAUAAUAUUUUGAACCGCAUGGUCCAAAAGUGAAAGACGGUCUUGCUGUCACUUAUAGAUGGAUCCGCGCUGCAUUAGCUAGUUGGUAAGGUAACGGCUUACCAAGGCAACGAUGCAUAGCCGACCUGAGAGGGUGAUCGGCCACACUGGAACUGAGACACGGUCCAGACUCCUACGGGAGGCAGCAGUAGGGAAUCUUCCGCAAAGGGCGAAAGCCUGACGGAGCAACGCCGCGUGAGUGAUGAAGGUCUUCGGAUCGUAAAACUCUGUUAUUAGGGAAGAACAUAUGUGUAAGUAACUGUGCACAUCUUGACGGUACCUAAUCAGAAAGCCACGGCUAACUACGUG